Molecule: long non-coding RNA, 343 nt
Filed under: Carica papaya (papaya)
Lineage: Eukaryota; Viridiplantae; Streptophyta; Magnoliopsida; Brassicales; Caricaceae
Description: long non-coding RNA (CPAP_LNC010180)
Source: RNAcentral
CUGCACCCUAUAAGGCAAUUGACACACUAUUCUGCAUUCUUGCAUGAAAAGAGUAGAGUAACUACCUAAAUAGAUUAGUGAAAAACCAUCAAAUGGAAGAGUAAGCCAUCUACUAGGUGUGAGUGAAAACUUUUGUCCACAUUUUGUUUGCAUCAGUCGUACUACAUUGUAUAAUUCACUUGUGCAUGCACGUCUUAGGCUUCUAGAUCUAUUAGGAAUUUUGCAACAUUCUUUCUAACUUGCAGGGACUCGAUUAAAGAAGAUCCAAACUCUGAUGCUUAGCUUGGUAGAGAAAGUUUGAUUGUGAGUGAUAAACAUGAAAGUUAUUGAAGCAAGAUGAGUC